Camellia sinensis is the source of this 636-nucleotide non-coding RNA. The record is from RefSeq and is a predicted model, not a curated record. NCBI's taxonomy places the organism in Eukaryota, Viridiplantae, Streptophyta, Magnoliopsida, Ericales, Theaceae.
UAUUGAAAAUAAUAAAAGAAACAAAAAAAAUGGGAACAAAGUUUUGCUUGGGGAGUUGGUAAACAAGUGAGUUGGCAUGUCCUUUUAAGAAAGUGGAAAACAAGGAUAAAGGACAGCCUAUCCCACAUGCCACAACCUUUGAUUAAACAGCUUUCAUCUCUAGAUUAUUUUCUAUUUACUCUCUUUUUAACAUGUUUUCUUCUUAAGUUUCUCCGUCACCAAACCCAAAUGCACAGCUAUCUGUCAAGUUGAGUACUCACAGCCAGCAAUUGAAUAAAGAGUGAAGAAAGGAAGGAAGCAUGGCAACUGAGGCACCGAGCUGGGCGGAUCAAUGGGGAGCAGGAGGCAUCGGUGCUAUGGAAGGAGAAGAUAACAAGAAGGCCAACGGAGACAAGGGCAGCGACAAAAAGACGGGCUCUUCUGCAGGACUCGGAAAAGCCAAAGCAGUGGCCAUGGCAGGGGCACAAAAGGUGAAGAGUGGGACAUGCAAUGGCAUCAAAUGGAUCAAGAACCAAUGCCAGAAGAAAAAAACACCCUCAAAUGAAUAAUGCUAGUUGUUGUUUUGUAUUUUAUGGACUAUUCUUUAUAUGUUUUUGUAUCUUUUGUAUGACAAAUUUGUAUUCCUUCAGCCUCAAA